Molecule: ribosomal RNA, 468 nt
Filed under: uncultured bacterium
Lineage: Bacteria
Description: partial 16S ribosomal RNA
Rfam family: Bacterial small subunit ribosomal RNA
Source: RNAcentral
GACGAACGCUGGCGGCGUGCUUAACACAUGCAAGUCGAACGGAAAGGCCCUGCUUUUGUGGGGUGCUCGAGUGGCGAACGGGUGAGUAACACGUGAGUAACCUGCCCUUGACUUUGGGAUAACUUCAGGAAACUGGGGCUAAUACCGGAUAGGAGCUCCUGCUGCAUGGUGGGGGUUGGAAAGUUUCGGCGGUUGGGGAUGGACUCGCGGCUUAUCAGCUUGUUGGUGGGGUAGUGGCUUACCAAGGCUUUGACGGGUAGCCGGCCUGAGAGGGUGACCGGCCACAUUGGGAAUGAGAUACGGCCCAGACUCAUACGGGAGGCAGCAGUGGGGAAUAUUGCACAAUGGGCGGAAGCCUGAUGCAGCAACGCCGCGUGCGGGAUGACGGCCUUCGGGUUGUAAACCGCUUUCGCCUGUGACGAAGCGUGAGUGACGGUAAUGGGUAAAGAAGCACCGGCUAACUACGUG